GUCUUGCUCUGUCAUCCAGGCUGAAGUGCAGUGGCGCGAUCUUGGCUCAUUGCAUGUCCGCCUCCCAGCUUCAAGCAAUUCCCCUGUCUCAGCCUCCUGAGUAGCUGGGAAUACAGGUGCGUGCCACCACACACAGCUAAUUUUUUGACAUGUAAAGAAUUACUCUCAAUGACUGUGUGGCAGACAGUCUAUGAAGGUGCCACCCUCCCCAUCCCUGCCUUCUGGAGUCAUACCUUCUCUUUAGUGUGG
This 249-nucleotide long non-coding RNA is filed under the name Pan troglodytes (chimpanzee). RNAcentral describes it as "long non-coding RNA NONPTRT016543". The record is from RNAcentral. Lineage: Eukaryota; Metazoa; Chordata; Mammalia; Primates; Hominidae.